RNAcentral lists this ribosomal RNA (253 nucleotides) under uncultured bacterium. RNAcentral's name for it is "partial 16S ribosomal RNA". It matches the Rfam family "Bacterial small subunit ribosomal RNA", at positions 524 to 776 of the family's 1533-position model. The record is from RNAcentral.
UACGGAGGAUGGAAGCGUUAUCCGGAAUGAUUGUGCGUAAAGGGUCCGUAGGUGGUGAUGUAAGUCUAUUGUCAAAGGUUCUGGCUUAACCAGAGAUAGGCAGUAGAAACUGCAAAACUAGAGUGCAGUCGGGGCAGGGGGAAUUCCUGGUGUAGCGGUGAAAUGCGUAGAGUUCAGGAAGAACACCGGUGGCGAAAGCGCCCUGCUAGGCUGUGACUGGCACUGAGGGACGAAAGCUAGGGGAGCGAAUGGG